CCUACGGGGGGCAGCAGUGAGGAAUAUUGGUCAAUGGACGAGAGUCUGAACCAGCCAAGUAGCGUGAAGGAUGACUGCCCUAUGGGUUGUAAACUUCUUUUAUAAGGGAAUAAAAUGUUCCACGUGUGGGCUUUUGUAUGUACCUUAUGAAUAAGGAUCGGCUAACUCCGUGCCAGCAGCCGCGGUAAUACGGAGGAUCCGAGCGUUAUCCGGAUUUAUUGGGUUUAAAGGGAGCGUAGGUGGGUUGUUAAGUCAGUUGUGAAAGUUUGCGGCUCAACCGUAAAAUUGCAGUUGAAACUGGCAGUCUUGAGUACAGGAGAGGUAGGCGGAAUGCGUGGUGUAGCGGUGAAAUGCUUAGAUAUCACGAAGAACUCCGAUUGCGAAGGCAGCUCACUGGCCUGCAACUGACACUGAGGCUCGAAAGUGUGGGUAUCAAACAGGAUUAGAUACCCCGGUAGUC
RNAcentral lists this ribosomal RNA (460 nucleotides) under uncultured bacterium. RNAcentral's name for it is "partial 16S ribosomal RNA". It matches the Rfam family "Bacterial small subunit ribosomal RNA", at positions 338 to 795 of the family's 1533-position model. The record is from RNAcentral.